This 253-nucleotide ribosomal RNA is filed under the name uncultured bacterium. RNAcentral describes it as "partial 16S ribosomal RNA". It matches the Rfam family "Bacterial small subunit ribosomal RNA", at positions 524 to 776 of the family's 1533-position model. The record is from RNAcentral.
UACGUAGGGCGCAAGCGUUGUCCGGAAUUAUUGGGCGUAAAGAGCUCGUAGGCGGUUUGUCGCGUCUGCUGUGAAAACCUAAGGCUCAACCUUGGGCUUGCAGUGGGUACGGGCAGACUAGAGUGCGGUAGGGGUGACUGGAAUUCCUGGUGUAGCGGUGGAAUGCGCAGAUAUCAGGAGGAACACCUAUUGCGAAGGCAGCUCGCUGGGACGUAACUGACGCUGAGACGCGAAAGCGUGGGGAGCAAACAGG